RNAcentral lists this ribosomal RNA (253 nucleotides) under uncultured bacterium. RNAcentral describes it as "partial 16S ribosomal RNA". It matches the Rfam family "Bacterial small subunit ribosomal RNA", at positions 524 to 776 of the family's 1533-position model. The record is from RNAcentral.
UACGUAGGGGGCAAGCGUUAUCCGGAUUUACUGGGUGUAAAGGGAGCGUAGGUGGCAAGGCAAGUCAGAUGUGAAAACCCGGGGCCCAACCCCCGGACUGCUUUGGAAACUGUAUGGCUGGAGUGCAGGAGAGGUAAGUGGAAUUCCUAGUGUAGCGGUGAAAUGCAUAGAUAUAACUUAGAACACCGAUAGCGAAGGCAGCUUACCAGACUGAGUCUGACGCUGAUGCACGAGAGCAUGGGUAGCGAACAGG